Non-coding RNA from Phoenix dactylifera (date palm), 1191 nucleotides. The record is from RefSeq and is a predicted model, not a curated record. Lineage: Eukaryota; Viridiplantae; Streptophyta; Magnoliopsida; Arecales; Arecaceae.
UUUUUGUAUUGCUAGGUUGAAGUAGGUUGGGCUUGCCGACUUCAAUCCAAUAUGGGCCUAAUUUGGGCCGGUUAUCAUACCAGUUGUUUGGAAAUCAUAAAAAUGAACGGGCUCGUGUUGGCUCAAUAUUCAUUCCUGGGUUAGAUAAUAAAUUUAGAGCUUGUAGCAGAUGUGAGUUUCAUUGUACAUCAAUGUCCUUGAGGAGACUUUAACUACUACAUAAUCUUCAAUGUUUUUCUUGAUGACCAGAUGCUUUUGGAUUGUCUGGUUGGACUGUGAUCUGAGGCAUGUCAUUGUUCAAGCCUCAUUCCUUCAGGCAUUUGGAAUGUCUUAUCUUGUUCUUAUGAACUUUUAUUCAUGCUAGUAUCUCUCGAAAUUUGGGACUAGGCUGGGAAAGGUUCUUGACAUGUGAACAAUUUUUAUCUGCACUAGUUUGACACUAGUGAAAAUUGCUGGGCAAAGUUAAGUUUUGCUGGCUUUCAUUUUGAAGGGCUAUACUUUAAAUUUGGAAGAGGUGAGUUGUAUUGCGAAAGGAUCUUGAGGUGAAGGUGUGUGGUAAGUGGGCUGAGGCGGCCUUUACUAUGGGCUGUAUCCAUUGUGUCAAAAACAUGUAAGCCAGUGAAUAUUUAGUAACCGAACAGUCUCUGAAUGCCCCAUGAUGCUUGAUGAUGAUACACUUUUUGUGUUCUCUAUAGCCUUUGACAGUCUAUAUAUGUUACUGCUGGAUGCCUGGAUGGCUGCAAGUUAUACGGUAGUUUCCUGAUGGAUGUUGUCUAAAGAUUACCAUCUACCUUUUUUUUUCAGCAAUCUGUGUUUCCAUCAGUCCCAGACAUUUGAGGAAGCUGAUUCAAAGCAAGAUGGGAAGAUUGACAAGGAAGAGUGGCGCCUGUCUUGUCUUGCGACAUCCCUCUCUGCUGAAGAAUACGACCCUUUUUUAAUAGUUUCAGAGAAUGCAUUGUUUGAUCUCCUAAUCUCCCUUUCUGUUUUUGCUAUUCGAAUGUCAUGCACCUCAUGAACAGGGACAUCACGACUGCAUUCCCGAGCUUUGUGUUUCACUCUCAAGUCAACGAUACAUGAGCUCUUGAUUUGUAUAAAAUUAUUGGAUUUUAAUAGUGUGUUUGAUGCAAAUUUUUUCUCAGGAGAACGUUAUACGACGCUGGUGUUGGUUUCAAGGAUCAAUUUUGGCGUCCA